Molecule: ribosomal RNA, 110 nt
Organism: Labrus bergylta (ballan wrasse)
Lineage: Eukaryota; Metazoa; Chordata; Actinopteri; Labriformes; Labridae
Source: Ensembl
GCUUACGGCCAUACCACCCUGAACACGCCCGAUCUCGGAAAGCUAAGCAGGGUCGGGCCUGGUUAGUACUUGGAUGGGAGACCGCCUGGGAAUACCAGGUGCUGUAAGCU